CGGGGUGAGUAACGCGUGGAUAACCUGCCUCACACUGGGGGAUAACAGUUAGAAAUGACUGCUAAUACCGCAUAAGCACACAGUACCGCAUGGUACAGUGUGAAAAACUCCGGUGGUGUGAGAUGGAUCCGCGUCUGAUUAGCCAGUUGGCGGGGUAACGGCCCACCAAAGCGACGAUCAGUAGCCGACCUGAGAGGGUGACCGGCCACAUUGGGACUGAGACACGGCCCAA
RNAcentral lists this ribosomal RNA (232 nucleotides) under uncultured bacterium. Its description in RNAcentral is "partial 16S ribosomal RNA". It matches the Rfam family "Bacterial small subunit ribosomal RNA", at positions 104 to 334 of the family's 1533-position model. The record is from RNAcentral.